This 253-nucleotide ribosomal RNA is filed under the name uncultured bacterium. Its description in RNAcentral is "partial 16S ribosomal RNA". It matches the Rfam family "Bacterial small subunit ribosomal RNA", at positions 524 to 776 of the family's 1533-position model. The record is from RNAcentral.
UACGUAGGGGGCAAGCGUUGUCCGGAAUCAUUGGGCGUAAAGAGCGUGUAGGCGGCCCGGUAAGUCCGCUGUGAAAGUCCAGGGCUCAACCCUGGGAUGCCGGUGGAUACUGUCGGGCUCGAGUCCGGAAGAGGAGUGUGGAAUUCCUGGUGUGGCGGUGAAAUGCGCAGAUAUCAGGAGGAACACCAAUGGCGAAGGCAGCACUCUGGGACGUGACUGACGCUGAGACGCGAAAGCGUGGGGAGCAAACAGG